UACGUAGGGUGCGAGCGUUGUCCGGAAUUACUGGGCGUAAAGAGUUCGUAGGCGGUUUGUCGCGUCGUUCGUGAAAACUUGGGGCUUAACUCCAAGCGUGCGGGCGAUACGGGCAGACUUGAGUACUACAGGGGAGACUGGAAUUCCUGGUGUAGCGGUGAAAUGCGCAGAUAUCAGGAGGAACACCGGUGGCGAAGGCGGAUCUCUGGGCCUUACCUGACGCUGAGGCGCGAAAGCUAGGGGAGCGAACAGG
Molecule: ribosomal RNA, 253 nt
Filed under: uncultured bacterium
Lineage: Bacteria
Description: partial 16S ribosomal RNA
Rfam family: Bacterial small subunit ribosomal RNA
Source: RNAcentral